ACAAAAAGAGAGAAAUCUCCUAAGUUAACGUAGUCAGAUUUCCACCUUAAAGUCCUUAUUCAGAAUAGCGAAGUCUCCCUAAGCCAGCUUUUCUAAAAGUUAAGGAAAACCGACCGGAAAUCUACGAGCAAAGAGCUUAAAAAUAUAGAUGAGUUGGGGUGUCAAGAAGCUCAAAUUCUCUAUCUGCAAAGCUCUAAGAUGCAUCUGGGGGUGUCGGCUCACCUCGUAGAUAUCUUCGUACUUGACAUUCUCCACGAGCUUCCAGAGCAUGAUGGCAGCCUGGUCUCUAGGAGGAAAACAUCAACAUCAACAAGAACAAAGUUAACCAAACCUCGAAAAUGGGUGCCCUUUAAGGCACAGGGUUUCCGAAUUUCAUCAUGAAAUGGGGGAAUGGAGACACAGAGAGGUUCAGCAGCUUGCCCAAGGUCACACAGAAG
This is a long non-coding RNA of Hippopotamus amphibius kiboko, 437 nucleotides long. RefSeq lists it as uncharacterized. The transcript has 3 exons. NCBI's taxonomy places the organism in Eukaryota, Metazoa, Chordata, Mammalia, Artiodactyla, Hippopotamidae. The record is from RefSeq and is a predicted model, not a curated record.